This 230-nucleotide ribosomal RNA is filed under the name uncultured bacterium. Its description in RNAcentral is "partial 16S ribosomal RNA". It matches the Rfam family "Bacterial small subunit ribosomal RNA", at positions 157 to 387 of the family's 1533-position model. The record is from RNAcentral.
CCUGGGCUAAUACCGGAUACGUAAACCUGUGGCAUCACAUGGUUUUUGGAAAGUUUUUCGAUUGAGGAUGGAUUCGCGGCCUAUCAGCUUGUUGGUGAGGUAAUGGCUCACCAAGGCGACGACGGGCAGCCGGCCUGAGAGGGUGAACGGCCACACUGGGACUGAGACAUGGCCCAGACUCCUACGGGAGGCAGCAGUGGGGAAUAUUGCGCAAUGGAUGAAAGUCUGAC